Molecule: ribosomal RNA, 465 nt
Filed under: Vreelandella stevensii
Lineage: Bacteria; Pseudomonadati; Pseudomonadota; Gammaproteobacteria; Oceanospirillales; Halomonadaceae
Description: partial 16S ribosomal RNA
Rfam family: Bacterial small subunit ribosomal RNA
Source: RNAcentral
CCUACGGGGGGCAGCAGUGGGGAAUAUUGGACAAUGGGGGGAACCCUGAUCCAGCCAUGCCGCGUGUGUGAAGAAGGCCCUCGGGUUGUAAAGCACUUUCAGUGAGGAAGAACGCCUGGUGGUUAAUACCCAUCAGGAAAGACAUCACUCACAGAAGAAGCACCGGCUAACUCCGUGCCAGCAGCCGCGGUAAUACGGAGGGUGCGAGCGUUAAUCGGAAUUGCUGGGCGUAAAGCGCGCGUAGGUGGCUUGAUAAGCCGGUUGUGAAAGCCCCGGGCUCAACCUGGGAACGGCAUCCGGAACUGUCAAGCUAGAGUGCAGGAGAGGAAGGUAGAAUUCCCGGUGUAGCGGUGAAAUGCGUAGAGAUCGGGAGGAAUACCAGUGGCGAAGGCGGCCUUCUGGACUGACACUGACACUGAGGUGCGAAAGCGUGGGUAGCAAACAGGAUUAGAUACCCUUGUAGUC